AACGAACGCUGGCGGCAUGCCUAACACAUGCAAGUCGAACGAGACCUUCGGGUCUAGUGGCGCACGGGUGCGUAACGCGUAGGAACCUGCCCUUAGGUUCGGAAUAACUCCCCGAAAGGGGUGCUAAUACCGGAUAAUGUCUUCGGACCAAAGAUUUAUCGCCUUUGGAUGGGCCCGCGUUGGAUUAGCUAGUUGGUAGGGUAAAAGCCUACCAAGGCGACGAUCCAUAGCUGGUCUGAGAGGAUGAUCAGCCACACUGGGACUGAGACACGACCCAGACUCCUACGGGAGGCAGCAGUGGGGAAUAUUGGACAAUGGGCGAAAGCCUGAUCCAGCAAUGCCGCGUGAGUGAUGAAGGCCUUAGGGUUGUAAAGCUCUUUUACCCGGGAUGAUAAUGACAGUACCGGGAGAAUAAGCUCCGGCUAACUCCGUG
This 433-nucleotide ribosomal RNA is filed under the name uncultured bacterium. RNAcentral describes it as "partial 16S ribosomal RNA". It matches the Rfam family "Bacterial small subunit ribosomal RNA", at positions 29 to 507 of the family's 1533-position model. The record is from RNAcentral.